Molecule: ribosomal RNA, 478 nt
Filed under: uncultured bacterium
Lineage: Bacteria
Description: bacterial SSU rRNA
Rfam family: Bacterial small subunit ribosomal RNA
Source: RNAcentral
GAUAAACGCUGGCGGCGUGCAUUAGACAUGCAAGUCGAACGAACGACCUCGGGCUUGCCCGGGGAAGUUAGUGGCGAACGGCUGAGUAACGCGUAGGUGACCUGCCCAGAAGUGGGGAAUAACUGCCCGAAAGGGUGGCUAAUACCGCAUGUGGUCAUGGAUUCGGUUCCACGACCAAAGCCUUCGGGCGCUUCUGGAGGGGCCUGCGUUCGAUUAGCUCGUUGGUGAGGUAACGGCUCACCAAGGCGACGAUCGAUAGGUGGUCUGAGAGGAUGAUCACCCAGACUGGGACUGAGACACGGCCCAGACUCCUACGGGAGGCAGCAGUCGGGAAUUUUGCCCAAUGGGGGAAACCCUGAGGCAGCAACGCCGCGUGAGGGAUGACGGCCUUCGGGUUGUAAACCUCUUUUCUCAGGGACGAUAAUGACGGUACCUGAGGAAUAAGCCACGGCUAACUACGUGCCAGCCGCCGCCGUAA